AACCAGAUAUUUCCACUUAAAACAAAGGUGCCAGCUCUUCUGGCUUGCCGAUUUUGGAGUAUAUAAGGCUGGACUCACUCACAGCGACUUUGGAAGCCUCACCUACAGGUGGACGCACCGCGUGGGAUUUCCCACUGGCAGGGAAAGGUAUCUCCAG
Molecule: long non-coding RNA, 157 nt
Organism: Athene cunicularia (burrowing owl)
Lineage: Eukaryota; Metazoa; Chordata; Aves; Strigiformes; Strigidae
Exons: 3
Source: RefSeq, a predicted model, not a curated record